RNAcentral lists this small RNA (488 nucleotides) under Arabidopsis thaliana (thale cress). RNAcentral describes it as "ATSL025240". The record is from RNAcentral. Lineage: Eukaryota; Viridiplantae; Streptophyta; Magnoliopsida; Brassicales; Brassicaceae.
AUAGCACGUUGUGAAAACUAUUUGAUCCAAUUCUAUCUACUCCACACUUCUUAAAGAUUUCGAUUUUUUAAAAAUAAAUUUUAUUUCUUUUGAGGUCUAGCAAUUCAACCAUCAAAUAUGAUCUUAGGGGUGGGCGCAAGGCGAGUACUUGCUAUUUUAGGGAUAUUUGUUACUCGACUUGCCUUGUAUGAGUAAUCAAAAUAAGUACUUAUAUUUGGCUUGUUAAAAACGAGUACUUGCAAUUUCAAGUACUUGCUAAAAUAUGAUUGCCUUGCGAGCUACUUGCCUUGUCAUGUUACUUGCUACUUGCGAGUUACUUACACUUACUUGCGAGUUAUUACUUGUUAUUUGCGAAUUAUUUACAAGUAUUUACGAGUUAUUACUUGCUACUUGCGAGUUACUUACAAGUUAUUUGCAAGUAUUUGAGAGUUACUUGCAAGUAACACUUUCGAAUUACUUGAAAUUACUUAAUACUUUAUUUAUCAUAU